RNAcentral lists this ribosomal RNA (137 nucleotides) under uncultured cyanobacterium. Its description in RNAcentral is "partial 16S ribosomal RNA". It matches the Rfam family "Bacterial small subunit ribosomal RNA", at positions 1380 to 1533 of the family's 1533-position model. Lineage: Bacteria; Bacillati; Cyanobacteriota. The record is from RNAcentral.
CUUGUACACACCGCCCGUCACACCAUGGGAGCUGGCCAUGCCCGAAGUCGGAGCACCCGCCGAAGGCAGGGCUGGUGACUGGGGUGAAGUCGUAACAAGGUAGCCGUACCGGAAGGUGCGGCUGGAUCACCUCCUUU